Molecule: ribosomal RNA, 325 nt
Filed under: uncultured eukaryote
Lineage: Eukaryota
Description: partial 18S ribosomal RNA
Rfam family: Eukaryotic small subunit ribosomal RNA
Source: RNAcentral
CCCUUAGAUGUUCUGGGCCGCACGCGCGCUACACUGAUGCAUUCAACGAGCCUAGCCUUGACCGAGAGGUCCGGGUAAUCUUUGAAACUGCAUCGUGAUGGGGCUAGAUUAUUGCAAUUAUUAAUCUUCAACGAGGAAUGCCUAGUAAGCGUGAUUCAUCAAAUCGCGUUGAUUACGUCCCUGCCCUUUGUACACACCGCCCGUCGCUCCUACCGAUUGGGUGUGCUGGUGAAAUGUUCGGAUCGGCCGUUUGUCGCGGUUUCCGCGUCAUGUGGCUGAGAAGUUCAUUAAACCCUCCCACCUAGAGGAAGGAGAAGUCGUAACA